This is an RNA transcript of Piliocolobus tephrosceles (Ugandan red Colobus), 943 nucleotides long. It is a transcript of the gene named 39S ribosomal protein L35, mitochondrial pseudogene, with no coding region annotated. The record is from RefSeq and is a predicted model, not a curated record. The transcript has a single exon. NCBI's taxonomy places the organism in Eukaryota, Metazoa, Chordata, Mammalia, Primates, Cercopithecidae.
CAAAGUGCUGGGAUUACAGGCUUGAGGCACCGUGCCCGGCCAGCUUCAGUAAUCUUAUGGCUUCAGAAUAUUUUGGCAUCUUCAGCCUACCGAAACAGUGUCAAAAAUGCCUCUCUUAUUUCUGCAUUGUCCACUGGACGUUUUAGUCAUAUUCAGAUACCAGUUGUUUCCUCCACUCCCAGACUUACCACAUCUGAGAGAAACCUGACAUAUGGGCAUACUUCAGCGAUCCUUAAUAGAGUGGUCCCUUUGCUUCCAAGUAUCUUGAAGCUGCCAGUCAGAUCUCUAACAUACGUCAGUAUACGAAAAGGCAAGAGAAAGAUUGUGAAAGCUGUCAUCUAUAGGUUUCUUAGACUUCAUUGUGGACUUUGGAAGAGAAGGGCUGGUUAUAAGAAAAAAUUUUGGAAAAAGACACAUGCAAGAAAAAAGCGAUUGAGGGAAUUUGUAUUCUGCAAUAAAACCCAGAGUAAACUCUUAAGAUAAAAUGACGACGUCCUUCUGGAAGAGGCGAAAGUGGUGUGUCCAUGAUCCUUAUCAGAAGUAUCAUGAUCGAACAAACCUGAAAGUAUAGAUCAGAAGUUUCACUUGUUUCUCAGUUAUUGAAUAUGUAUCUUUGUGUACAUAUCUUUGCAAAAAUGGAUAAGUAAAAAACUCGAUGUAAAUUGUACCAAUGAAUAUGUAAACAUACAGUGACAACAUUAAACUUAUAAAAGUUUUAAAACUUGAAAAAAAAAAAGCUCAGAUCUGUAAAGGACAUGUAAAAAGAAGGUGGAAAAUGUAUUUAGAAUCAGGGAAUGAUGCUAAAAGUGUGGUAGAGACAAAAGAGAAAAGAAUAGUCCUAAAAGUGGUUUAGGUUUGCAGCAGAUGCUGAUGAUAUCAAAACAAUCUUCACUUAAAAAAAAAAAAAAAAAGACUCCAAAGUACAAGCAACAAAUGGAAAAAA